GUCAAGCAUGGUGGCACGUGCCUGUGGUCCCAGCUACUUGGGAGGCUGAGGCUGGAAGAUCGCUUGAGUCCAGGAGUUUUGGGCUGUAGUGCGCUAUGACAAUCAGGUGAGCACACUAAGUUUGGCAUCGAUUUGGUGACCUCCCUGGAGCAGGGGACCACCAGGUUGCCUAAGGAGGGGUGAACUGGCCCAGGAUGGAAAGAGAGCAGGUCAAAACUCUCAUCCUGAUCAGUAGUGGGACUGUGCCUGUGAAAAGCCCCUGCACCAUUCCAGCCUGGGCGUAGUGAGACCCUGUCUCU
This 299-nucleotide signal recognition particle RNA is filed under the name Saimiri boliviensis boliviensis (Bolivian squirrel monkey). RNAcentral describes it as "Metazoan signal recognition particle RNA (ENSSBOG00000000571.1)". It matches the Rfam family "Metazoan signal recognition particle RNA". From Rfam's summary of the family: The signal recognition particle (SRP) is a universally conserved ribonucleoprotein. Lineage: Eukaryota; Metazoa; Chordata; Mammalia; Primates; Cebidae. The record is from RNAcentral.